GACGAACGCUGGCGGCGUGCUUAACACAUGCAAGUCGAACGGAAAGGCCCUGCUUUUGUGGGGUGCUCGAGUGGCGAACGGGUGAGUAACACGUGAGUAACCUGCCCUUGACUUUGGGAUAACUUCAGGAAACUGGGGCUAAUACCGGAUAGGAGCUCCUGCUGCAUGGUGGGGGUUGGAAAGUUUCGGCGGUUGGGGAUGGACUCGCGGCUUAUCAGCUUGUUGGUGGGGUAGUGGCUUACCAAGGCUUUGACGGGUAGCCGGCCUGAGAGGGUGACCGGACAAAUUGGGACUGAGAUACGGCCCAGACUCCUACGGGAGGCAGCAGUGGGGAAUAUUGCACAAUGGGCGGAAGCCAGAUGCAGCAACGCCGCGUGGGGGAUGACGGCCUUCGGGUUGGAAACCGCUUUCGCCUGUGACGAAGCGUGAGUGACGGUAAUGGGUAAAGAAGCACCGGCUAACUACGUG
RNAcentral lists this ribosomal RNA (468 nucleotides) under uncultured bacterium. RNAcentral describes it as "partial 16S ribosomal RNA". It matches the Rfam family "Bacterial small subunit ribosomal RNA", at positions 28 to 507 of the family's 1533-position model. The record is from RNAcentral.